Pectinophora gossypiella (pink bollworm) is the source of this 478-nucleotide long non-coding RNA. RefSeq lists it as uncharacterized. The record is from RefSeq and is a predicted model, not a curated record. The transcript has 3 exons. Lineage: Eukaryota; Metazoa; Arthropoda; Insecta; Lepidoptera; Gelechiidae.
GCAACAUUUUGUGAUGACGUCACAACAGCUGUAGGUACGUGCCAUUUUUCGCCAUUUUAUGCGCUGUGUUUUGUGGUACUUCUGCUGUCAAGUAGCUGUUUAUGAGAUCGUAUUUUGUGUUUUGCGGAUAAAUUACGAGGAUUUGAUUUGCUAAAUCGAAGUUGAAGUUGAAAAAAGUGUUAUUCAACAUGUCCGUGUAUUGUAUUGUACCGUGUGGUGCCAGAAAGGACAGAAAUCAACCGUAUUUGUCACUUCAUAGGCCAUCUUUCAAUCCAAAAUUGUCGACUGGAUUUACUGAAACAGGUGAUAUUGGAAAACUAAUCCACAGCUGCAACGUCGUCUGUGCUGCCAUUGCCCGUACGUCUGUCUCAUAAGUCAGUACAUGAAAAGUCUGUUCAAGAAGACGCGAUGAAAAAAUUAAAAGAUAGCCAAUUUGAAGAAUAUUAUGGAAGAUCUGCAGAAUAAAAAUCAAAUAAUA